Long non-coding RNA from Dreissena polymorpha, 379 nucleotides. RefSeq lists it as uncharacterized. Lineage: Eukaryota; Metazoa; Mollusca; Bivalvia; Myida; Dreissenidae. The record is from RefSeq and is a predicted model, not a curated record. The transcript has 2 exons.
GAUACAGCUGUAAUCAAUGGAGCGUGGUGCUGACUGCAGACUACCGCAAAGUGGCAUGCAAUGGUGAGAAUUGCGAUUAUCUGGGGUGUUGUUACAAGUUAUCUUAAUUGGUCGGCAGUUUUAUGGCUUCAGAGAUAAGACAACAUUGAAAUAAACCUACCGACUUUAUGCUUAAAUGUGAAGCGUUUGUCACAGUGUUCGAAGCCGAUUCCAAGACCGUUACAUUGACAACCAUGUGACACUCAAAAAGAUUACCAGAAAGCUGCAUGCUGAAGCAACCAAGCUGUGGCAACAUAUUCAGGCUGCUAAGAAGGUGUCAAUCAACAAGACUUACAACUGAUUGAAUGUGCCUUUAUUUAAUGAACAAUCUUCAAUGUGU